GACGAACGCUGGCGGCGUGCUUAACACAUGCAAGUCGAACGGAAAGGCCCUGCUUUUGUGGGGUGCUCGAGUGGCGAACGGGUGAGUAACACGUGAGUAACCUGCCCUUGACUUUGGGAUAACUUCAGGAAACUGGGGCUAAUACCGGAUAGGAGCUCCUGCUGCAUGUUGGGGGUUGGAAAGUUUCGGCGGUUGGGGAUGGACUCGCGGCUUAUCAGCUUGUUGGUGGGGUAGUGGCUUACCAAGGCUUUGACGGGUAGCCGGCCUGAGAGGGUGACCGGCCACAUUGGGCCUGAGAUACGGACCAGUAUCCUACGGGAGGCAGCAGUGGGGAAUAUUGCACAAUGGGCGGAAGCCUGAUGCAGCAACGCCGCGUGCGGGAUGACGGCUUUCGGGUUGUAAACCGCUUUCGCCUGUGACGAAGCGUGAGUGACGGUAAUGGGUAAAGAAGCAACGGCUAACUACGUG
Molecule: ribosomal RNA, 468 nt
Filed under: uncultured bacterium
Lineage: Bacteria
Description: partial 16S ribosomal RNA
Rfam family: Bacterial small subunit ribosomal RNA
Source: RNAcentral